CAUAAUUGCUUUUAUUUGAAAACUCUGCACCUUGAAUGUAUUAGUAAUAAUGGCUUUGCACUCUUCUUACCUACACUUUUGGCUUCUAGCUACUUAUGAUCCAUUUGUAUUGAUCGACUCUUAGUAACCACCAAACUUCCCAGUCUUAUCAUCAUCGUCACAAAGUUACAAGAUCGUUCAGAAAGAUAUACUGAACUUUUAAUGCUUUUUUGGUAUCGCCAU
This 222-nucleotide long non-coding RNA is filed under the name Brassica napus (rape). RNAcentral describes it as "long non-coding RNA (BNAP_LNC025648)". The record is from RNAcentral. Lineage: Eukaryota; Viridiplantae; Streptophyta; Magnoliopsida; Brassicales; Brassicaceae.